GACGCUCACUUGUUUAACACGAGACGUAUUUACGUGUUUCAGCGCUCAAAGUUUGUUGUUUCUUCCCACGAAGUGCCUUGGAAACAUUGUCUUUUUACAGAAAACCAAAACAAAACAAAUCAAUACAAGGAAAAGAGAAGCAUCGCGUGGACAUCGGGGGCGGUACCUCCGGAUUGGCAGACCGUGGUAGUGGUUCCUCUCUUUAAGAAGGGGGACCAGAGGGUGUGUUCCAACUAUCGUGGGAUCACACUCCUCAGCCUUCCCGUAGUCCAACUGUUCUGAGUGAAGGGUUCUUGAGGGGUCCUCAUGUGAAGUACAACAUUGACACAAAUAAGGAGAUCAUCGUUGACUUCAGGAAGGACCAGUCCAGCCACGCUCCACUCUUCAUCAACGGCACAGCGGUGGAGAUGGUAAGCAGCACCAAGUUCCUGGGGGUGCAAAUCACUGACAAUAUAACCUGGUCCCUACACACCGGAGCUCUUGUAAAAAGAGCUCAGCAGCGCAUUCACUUUUUGCGUCGGAUGAAAAGAGCACAGCUACCUCCCCCCAUUCUCACCACAUUCUACAGAGGCACUAUAGAGAGCCUGCUAUCUGGAAUGGAGCCUACAAUGCCUCAGACUGGAAGUCGCCCCAGAGAGUGGUGAGGACAGCGGAAAAGAUUAUCAGGACUCCUCUUCCUCCUAUCCAGGAGAUUGCAAAAAGCCGCUGCCUGACCAGGGCUCAGAAAAUCUGCAAAGACUCCUCCCACCCCCACCAAGGACUGUUUUCACUGCUGGACUCUAGGAAGAGGUUCCGCAGCCUCCGUAGCAGAACCUCCAGGUUCUGUAACAGCUUCUUCCCUCAGGCCGUAAGACUCUUGAACGCAUCAUAAUGAAAUGUUCCCAUCAAUUCCCCCCAAAAUGGAUUAACUCGCUGGAAUAAAAAAGACAAUAUAACAUACAUCCAUAAACACGGACACAUGUGAAAAAGUGCAAUAUAUUUAUCUGUACAGUAAUCUAUUUAUCUAUAUCUGCACCUUAUCGCUUUUUUUAUUAUUUUUUUUUUUUUAUCCUGCACUACC
This is a long non-coding RNA of Nerophis ophidion (straightnose pipefish), 1060 nucleotides long. RefSeq lists it as uncharacterized. Lineage: Eukaryota; Metazoa; Chordata; Actinopteri; Syngnathiformes; Syngnathidae. The record is from RefSeq and is a predicted model, not a curated record. The transcript is spliced from 4 exons.